CAAAGUCAGGAUUUCCAGGAAGGCCUAGCUCAGCUCACCUCUGGAAAGGUCUCCAAGCUGUGUGAUCUGGGGAAUCGUGGAGGGGUUUUGAGCUCAGGUGUCUUCUGCCAGCUGGACUCUGAGACCCUGGCCUGCUGGGGCGAGGAUGAGGCUCUGAUGUGGUCUGGUCAACUCUGGGUUGGCCAUCUGCACCACAGGGCUCUAACAAGGGCCUGCUAUAGGCCAUGAGAACCACUGUAAGUGUCCUUGUUCGGCAAAUACUUACUCAUCCCCUGCUGUAUGCCCGGCAAUGUUCCAGGCACAGGAAUUCAUCGGAGAGCUAGAGAGGACAAGAUGUUGUCAUGGAGCUGCAGCAACUGAACGAAAAACCAUGAGAGCCCACGGAGGGCUUUGGAAGGGAUGAGGGAUGGCCUUUUCGAAGAGAGGCACUGGAGUUGAAACCUGAAUGGGACAAGAUCAGGUGGAAGAGGCUUCCAGACAGAGGGGGCAGCUCUGUCAAAAGGUCCCAAAGAAGGAGAAAUCUCAAUGUGUUUAAGAAACAGGUGGGGCUUCUGCCUCACACUCAUUCUAAAACCUUCAACCCCACAGCUUCUGCUUUAGGCAAUGGGGACACCUGGGAAACACAAUAUCCAGAAGACCAGCCCAUCUAUAAAAUUGCCAUGGAAAGGAAGUAAAUGAGGAACAGCCAAAAAUUCUUGGAAGUAGAAAGCACAGCAGGUGUCAAGGAGCCCAUCUCCAUUUUAGAAAGACAGAGAUGCGUUCUGGGCCGUUGCCCGGGAAAGAAUGUCUACCAGGACAGUUCUGAGAAGGCUCAGCAUCAUAUCUAAACACAGGAAAGGAAUUCCCUGUUGGAAAAUUCAGGAUGACAACUGUGGGUAGCAAGCCAAGGCAAAGGGCAGAACGUGGAGCAGCAUUUGAGGCUCCAGCCAAUUCCAGCCUGUCUGCAGGCACUGCCUGCCUCCACGGCUGUCAGGUGUCGCCCCCAGGAGCUACGUAGGGCGAAGCUAGGCAGGCUUUCAGUGCCAGCUGUGGUUUCCCCAACAGCUCACAGGCCAGAGGCCCCGCCCAGGCCACCUCCUCCAGUCCCCCUGCCGCGGGGUGGUCUUCGGUGGUCUCACUCUCCCUCCCACUGCAUUUCCAUCUCUGCUGUAAUAUACCACCUCAGCCCUUCCUUUUUGAUUCCCAAGAGCAAAUUUUGGA
This 1200-nucleotide long non-coding RNA is filed under the name Homo sapiens (human). Its description in RNAcentral is "HSALNT0380198". The record is from RNAcentral. Lineage: Eukaryota; Metazoa; Chordata; Mammalia; Primates; Hominidae.